This 164-nucleotide ribosomal RNA is filed under the name Veronica sennenii. RNAcentral's name for it is "5.8S ribosomal RNA". It matches the Rfam family "5.8S ribosomal RNA". Rfam says of the family: 5.8S ribosomal RNA (5.8S rRNA) is a component of the large subunit of the eukaryotic ribosome. Lineage: Eukaryota; Viridiplantae; Streptophyta; Magnoliopsida; Lamiales; Plantaginaceae. The record is from RNAcentral.
UCUAAACGACUCUCGGCAACGGAUAUCUCGGCUCUCGCAUCGAUGAAGAACGUAGCGAAAUGCGAUACUUGGUGUGAAUUGCAGAAUCCCGUGAACCAUCGAGUCUUUGAACGCAAGUUGCGCCCGAAGCCUUYUGGCYGAGGGCACGCCUGCCUGGGCGUCAC